UUGAACGCUGGCGGCAUGCUUUACACAUGCAAGUCGAACGGCAGCGCGGGCUUCGGCCUGGCGGCGAGUGGCGAACGGGUGAGUAAUGCAUCGGAACGUGCCCAGUAGUGGGGGAUAGCCCGGCGAAAGCCGGAUUAAUACCGCAUACGACCUGAGGGUGAAAGCGGGGGACCGAAAGGCCUCGCGCUAUUGGAGCGGCCGAUGUCGGAUUAGCUAGUUGGUGGGGUAAAGGCUUACCAAGGCGACGAUCCGUAGCUGGUCUGAGAGGACGACCAGCCACACUGGGACUGAGACACGGCCCAGACUCCUACGGGAGGCAGCAGUGGGGAAUUUUGGACAAUGGGGGCAACCCUGAUCCAGCCAUGCCGCGUGCGGGAAGAAGGCCUUCGGGUUGUGAACCGCUUUUGUUCGGGAAGAAAUCCUCUGGGCUAAUACCCCGGGGGGAUGACGGUACCGGAAGAAUAAGCACCGGCUAACUACGUG
This 483-nucleotide ribosomal RNA is filed under the name uncultured bacterium. RNAcentral's name for it is "partial 16S ribosomal RNA". It matches the Rfam family "Bacterial small subunit ribosomal RNA", at positions 29 to 507 of the family's 1533-position model. The record is from RNAcentral.